GAUGAACGCUGGCGGCGUGCCUAAUACAUGCAAGUCGAGCGAACGGACGAGAAGCUUGCUUCUCUGAUGUUAGCGGCGGACGGGUGAGUAACACGUGGAUAACCUCCCUAUAAGACUGGGAUAACUUCGGGAAACCGGAGCUAAUACCGGAUGAUAUUUUGAACCGCAUGGUUCAAAAGUGUAAGACGGUCUUGCUGUCACUUAUAGAUGGAUCCGCGCUGCAUUAGCUAGUUGGUAAGGUAACGGCUUACCAAGGCGACGAUGCAUAGCCGACCUGAGAGGAUGAUCGGCCACACUGGAACUGAGACGCGGUCCAGACGCCUACGGGAGGCAGCAGUAGGGAAUCUUCCGCAAUGGGCGAAGGCCUGACGGAGCAACGCCGCGUGAGUGAUGAAGGUCUUCGGAUCGUAAAACUCUGUUAUUAGGGAAGAACAUAUGUGUAAGUAACUGUGCACAUCUUGACGGUACCUAGUCAGAAAGCCACGGCUAACUACGUG
RNAcentral lists this ribosomal RNA (497 nucleotides) under uncultured bacterium. RNAcentral's name for it is "partial 16S ribosomal RNA". It matches the Rfam family "Bacterial small subunit ribosomal RNA", at positions 28 to 507 of the family's 1533-position model. The record is from RNAcentral.